GUGUCAGCAGCCGCGGUAAGACGGAGGGUGCAAGCGUUGUUCGGAAUCACUGGGCGUAAAGCGCGUGUAGGCGGUUUGGUAAGUCGAGUGUGAAAGCCCAAGGCUCAACCUUGGAAGUGCACUCGAAACUGUCAGGCUUGAGUACGGGAGAGGGAAGUGGAAUUCCUGGUGUAGAGGUGAAAUUCGUAGAUAUCAGGAGGAACACCGGUGGCGAAGGCGGCUUCCUGGACCGAUACUGACGCUGAGACGCGAAAGCGUGGGGAGCAAACAGGAUUAGAUACCCUGGUAGUCCACGCCGUAAACGGUGAGCACUAGGUGUAGCGGGUAUUGACCCCUGCUGUGCCGCAGCUAACGCAUUAAGUGCUCCGCCUGGGGAGUACGGCCGCAAGGUUAAA
This 395-nucleotide ribosomal RNA is filed under the name uncultured bacterium. RNAcentral describes it as "bacterial SSU rRNA". It matches the Rfam family "Bacterial small subunit ribosomal RNA", at positions 505 to 898 of the family's 1533-position model. The record is from RNAcentral.